GCUAUAUGUACGUCAGGGCUAAGACCGAAACCCUUUACAGAAUGAUGUUAAAAGUCCCUUUACUGUAAUACUUUUGCUUUCUCAGACCAGCCGUCCUGCAGGCAUGCAGACAACGGAAGCUCAGGAGCUCCGUUUAUUAAGGAUAAGGAAGCUGGCCGGGCGGUGGUGGCGCCGGCCUUUAAUCUCAGCACUCGGGAGACAGAGGCUGGCGGAUCUUUGUGAGUUUAAGGCCAACCUGUUCUACAAGCGCUAGUUCCUGGAGAGGCUCCAAAGCUACGAAGAAACCCUGUCUCGAAAAACAAAAUAGAAACAAAAAAAGGAUAAGGAAACUGAAAAGCAAGUUAACAUAAGAGUCUAAUAACUGACUGGAUUUCUCUUCCGUAUUGGGAAAUUGGGGAAAUGUCCCCCGUCCCAUUCAACCUACCCCAAAUCCGAUUCCGCAAGACUCAAUCCCUAUGUCAGCUGACUGAGGGUGAAGGAAGAAAUAUUGGCACCGAAUGAUCUGUCACAGACCGUGACAGGAUUACAGUAUUUCUCCAUGCAGCAUGGACAAGGACCACAUGCUCUGCAGGUCACAGUGACUUGCAUUCUCCUGGUAUGCCAUCUGGAUUCCUGGUUAACUCAGAACAAACAUGGGUUUCUCUGUGGCUUUGGAGCCUGUCCUGGAACUAGCUCUGUAGACCAGACGAAUGUGCUCUUACAGGGAGCCUGGCAGAGGUCGAAAAAUGACAUUGGAUCCCCUGGAACUGGAGUUAAAGACAGUUGUAUGCUGCCAGCACGAAUAAUAAAAACAGAAAGACAGAUAUUGGGUUCAGCCUGAAGAUCAGAAAAGCAAAGCAGCCAGCCACUAGAGAGACCUUUUACCUCUACCAAAUCUUCAGACUGAAGGAGCAAGAAAGAUCCUGUCUCCACAAAUCCUCAAACUCCACACUACACUGAGUUCCCCUGUCUUUCCUUUUUUUCCCUCUCUCCAGUCAGUCAUAUUGCUCCUUUCUCCACCUCCCUAGUGCUGAUUAAAGGCAUGGGAUUCCAAGUGCUGGGACCACCUUUGUAUGAGCUCUGAUUCUCCUUUAGACAGAGUCAGUCUUGUGGAGCUCGGGGUGGCCUUGAACAGACAGAGAUCCGUCAGUCUCCUGAGUCCUGAGAUUAAAGUGUAUGCCACCACUUCUGGCCUGUAUGGCAGACACGUUGAAACUCUUCUCGAAGCAGGAGUUACUUCUUCCAUGAAGAUGGGUUUUAGAGAUAGGCUGCAGGUGUUAUCAGGGCCUAGGGGAGGAUCUGGUGUAGUCUCAGUCACACAGAGAGCACAGAGGAUCUGGUGUAGUCUCAGUCACACAGAGAGCACAGAGGUCAUCCGGAUGAUUUGCCGCCCCUGGUCCUGGUUGUUGGAGCUUGGGGGAGCUCCUACCCCUAUGAAUAGAGCAAGGAUUAUCUGGGUUAUUAGCUACCCCCAUUCCCAGCCUUCUGUUCAGAAAUCAAUUAUACAUCUCUUCUACAGAAGAGAAAGCCCUGCGUGUUUAACAUUCCUGGUUUCCCUAAUGCUUAUCUGUGACCCAGGGGAUCUUUGUGCUCCCAGCACCUGUCCAGCUUUUACAGGGUCUCUCUCACGGAGCUUAGACUGGCCUUGAACUUAUCCCCUGCCUCAACUCUCCCCAAAUUCUGGCGUUAUA
Molecule: long non-coding RNA, 1670 nt
Organism: Alexandromys fortis (reed vole)
Lineage: Eukaryota; Metazoa; Chordata; Mammalia; Rodentia; Cricetidae
Exons: 4
Source: RefSeq, a predicted model, not a curated record